GUGACCGAGCGGCAGGUUAUACAUCGCAAGUCGAGGGGUAGCAGGUUGUAGCAAUACAGAUGCUGACGACCGGCAACGGGUGCGGAACACGUACAGAACCUUCUUCGAGUGGGAGAUAGCCCAGGGAAACUUGGAGUAAUAUCCCAUAGGAUCAUAGAGUGGCAUCACUUAGUAGAUUAAAGAUUUAUCGCUUGAAGAUGGCUGUGCGGCUGAUUAGGUAGUUGGUGUAGGUAACGGCUCACCAAGCCUUCGAUCAGUAACUGGUGUGAGAGCACGACCAGUCACACGGGCACUGAGACACGGGCCCGACUCCUACGGGAGGCAGCAGUAAGGAAUAUUGGGCAAUGGAGGCAACUCUGACCCAGCCAUGGCCGCGUGGAGGAUGAAGGUCCUCUGGAUUGUAAACUUCUUUUAUUUUGGGAAGAAAUGCCAUUUUUCUAAAUGGUUUGACGGUACCAGAUUGAAUAAGCACCGGCUAACUCCGUGCCAGCAGCCGCGGUAAUACGGAGGGUGCAAGCGUUUAUCCCGGGAUUCACUGGGGUUUUAAAAGGGUGGCGUAAGGCGGGGCAUAUUAAAUUCAGUGGGUUGAAAAUCCCCCGAAGCUUUAACUUUGGGGAACUGGCCCGUUGCAUACUUAUGUGUCUUUGGAAA
This 651-nucleotide ribosomal RNA is filed under the name uncultured bacterium. RNAcentral's name for it is "bacterial SSU rRNA". The stretch from base 9 to 515 matches the Rfam family "Bacterial small subunit ribosomal RNA", at positions 39 to 536 of the family's 1533-position model. The record is from RNAcentral.